UACGUAGGGUGCGAGCGUUGUCCGGAAUUAUUGGGCGUAAAGAGCUCGUAGGCGGUUUGUCGCGUCGUGCUGUGAAAACUCGGGGCUUAACCCCGGGCCUGCAGUGGGUACGGGCAGACUAGAGUGCGGUAGGGGAGACUGGAAUUCCUGGUGUAGCGGUGAAAUGCGCAGAUAUCAGGAGGAACACCGGUGGCGAAGGCGGGUCUCUGGGCCGAUACUGACGCUGAGGAGCGAAAGCGUGGGGAGCAAACAGG
RNAcentral lists this ribosomal RNA (254 nucleotides) under uncultured bacterium. Its description in RNAcentral is "partial 16S ribosomal RNA". It matches the Rfam family "Bacterial small subunit ribosomal RNA", at positions 524 to 776 of the family's 1533-position model. The record is from RNAcentral.